Molecule: non-coding RNA, 73 nt
Organism: Cordylochernes scorpioides
Lineage: Eukaryota; Metazoa; Arthropoda; Arachnida; Pseudoscorpiones; Chernetidae
Source: the annotation of a GenBank genome assembly
UCCAGGGUAGCCUAGUGGACAUGGCAUCUGCCCGGUAAGCGUAACAGUGUGGGUUCGAUUCCCAUCCCUGGAC